GAUGAACGCUGGCGGCGUGCCUAAUACAUGCAAGUCGAGCGAACGGACGAGAAGCUUGCUUCUCUGAUGUUAGCGGCGGACGGGGGAGUAACACGUUGAUAACCUACCUAUAAGACUGGGAUAACUUCGGGAAACCGGAGCUAAUACCGGAUAAUAUUUUGAACCGCAGGGUUCAAAAGUGAAAGACGGUCUUGCUGUCACUUAUAGAUGGAUCCGCGCUUCAUUAGCUAGUUGGUAAGGUAACGGCUUACCAAGGCAACGAUGCAUAGCCGACCUGAGAGGGUGAUCGGCCACACUGGAACUGUGACACGGUCCAGACUCCUACGGGAGGCAGCAGUAGGGAAUCUUCCGCAAUGGGCGAAAGCCUGACGGAGCAACGCCGCGUGAGUGCUGAAGGUCUUCGGAUCGUAAAACUCUGUUAUUAGGGAAGAACAUAUGUGUAAGUAACUGUGCACAUCUUGACGGUACCUAAUCAGAAAGCCACGGCUAACUACGUG
RNAcentral lists this ribosomal RNA (497 nucleotides) under uncultured bacterium. Its description in RNAcentral is "partial 16S ribosomal RNA". It matches the Rfam family "Bacterial small subunit ribosomal RNA", at positions 28 to 507 of the family's 1533-position model. The record is from RNAcentral.